GACAUUUUAUGAAGUACAAAAAAUAAAAUAAUGACAUUUUAUGAAGUACAAACUUUUACCUGCUUCAUAUUUGGUCGUAAGGACGAAGGUUUAUACACUGAAGCAGCAGCGCAAUAAAUCAUUCUUAACAUUUCAUUCUUCUUAUACUCUAUUCUGGAAUCAACAAGUCUGGUAUAGUCAUUAUUGUUCAAUGCUUGUCCAAUCCGAUUUUUAGCCCAUUGAACAAUUGUAAUGUUGCUUUCUUCAUGUAAAGGUUUUCUUCCAGUAAUCAAUUCUAAAAGUAUA
This 285-nucleotide unclassified non-coding RNA is filed under the name Hevea brasiliensis (rubber tree). Lineage: Eukaryota; Viridiplantae; Streptophyta; Magnoliopsida; Malpighiales; Euphorbiaceae. The record is from RNAcentral.